AUGCAGUGUGUGAAAUCAACAACUUUUUCAGUUAAGUUGAACGGUGGUAUUUCUCAUCAUUUCAACCCGUCCAGAGGGCUGCGCCAGGGGGAUCCCCUCUCCCCAUACCUCUUCUUGUUCUGUGUGGAAGGGUUCUCCGUGCUCUUGAGGGUUGCGCAACAGGAGAAGCAAGUUAAGGGAUUGGCUUUCGGGAGUAGUGGACCUACGGUGACUCACCUCCUCUUUGCUGAUGAUAGUGUGGUGUUUGUGGAGGGCUCACGAGAUAACUUUGAGGAUUUACGGUCCAUCAUUAAAGAGUAUGAGGAUGCCUCGGGACAGAAAGUCAACCUCCACAAAUCUGCAAUCUUCUUUGGAAAAGGAAAACCAGAUGAUAAAAAGGAGGAACUAAAACAAGUGCUAGGGGUUUCGGAGGAGGCACUGAGCGAGAGAUAUCUUGGACUACCCACGGUGGUGGGGAAGUCGAAGGACGGAACCUUCAAAUAUGUUGAGACAAGUGCGAGGGGGAAGGUU
Molecule: ribosomal RNA, 510 nt
Filed under: Triticum aestivum (bread wheat)
Lineage: Eukaryota; Viridiplantae; Streptophyta; Magnoliopsida; Poales; Poaceae
Description: partial small subunit ribosomal RNA
Source: RNAcentral